RNAcentral lists this ribosomal RNA (253 nucleotides) under uncultured bacterium. RNAcentral describes it as "partial 16S ribosomal RNA". It matches the Rfam family "Bacterial small subunit ribosomal RNA", at positions 524 to 776 of the family's 1533-position model. The record is from RNAcentral.
UACGGAGGAUCCAAGCGUUAUCCGGAUUUAUUGGGCUUAAAGGGUGCGUAGGCGGUUUAUUAAGUCAGUGGUUAAAGCCCGGAGCUCAACUUCGGAACUGCCAUUGAUACUGAUAGACUUGAGUACAGAUGAAGUGGGCGGAAUGUGACAAGUAGCGGUGAAAUGCUUAGAUAUGUCACAGAACACCGAUUGCGAAGGCAGCUCACUAAAGUGUAACUGACGCUGAGGCACGAAAGCGUGGGGAGCAAACAGG